UACGGAGGGUGCAAGCGUUAUCCGGAUUUAUUGGGUUUAAAGGGUGCGCAGGCGGUAUAAUAAGUCAGUGGUGAAAACUUGCAGCUUAACUGUAAGACUGCCAUUGAAACUGUUGUACUUGAGUUAUCUUGAGGUAGGCGGAAUGUGUAGUGUAGCGGUGAAAUGCUUAGAUAUUACACAGAACACCGAUUGCGAAGGCAGCUUACUAAGGAUAUACUGACGCUCAGGCACGAAAGCGUGGGGAUCGAACAGGAUUAGAUACCCUGGUAGUCCACGCCGUAAACGAUGAUGACUCGCUGUUGGCGAUACACAGUCAGCGGCUUAGCGAAAGCGUUAAGUCAUCCACCUGGGGAGUACGCUCGCAAGAGUGAA
This 372-nucleotide ribosomal RNA is filed under the name uncultured bacterium. RNAcentral's name for it is "bacterial SSU rRNA". It matches the Rfam family "Bacterial small subunit ribosomal RNA", at positions 524 to 898 of the family's 1533-position model. The record is from RNAcentral.